GUAUAUGAAAUGAAUAUUAUUUUAAGGAUCUAAAGUUAAUACUUAAAAGUGAUAAAAAGGUUAAAAUUUAACCAAUCAUAUCAUGAAAAUGAGUAAAGAGAAAUCAAGUGGAAUGAAACAUCUGAGUAACUUGAAAGUAACCAACAGGGGCUAUAUAAGUAACGGUGAGUGAAAGUAUAGUAGUCUAAAAGUAUUACCAAGAGGUAAGAAUAAAGUAGUAUCAACUACUAAGACGUAAAAUAAGUAUUAAACUAAAAGUACCGUAAGGGAAAAGGAGUAAAUAGAAUAAUAGAGAGCAGUUAUAGUAUAACGUACCUCUUGUAUAAUGGGCCAGUGAGUUAUAUAUAUUAGUGAAGUAAUUUAUAAAUAAAUUGAGUUUAAUCAAUCUAUAAUUAAUGUAUAUAGGCCCGAAAGCAAACGAUCUACACAUGUCCAAGUGUAUAUACGUCCGUUUUAAAAGAGCGGACCUUUAUAUGGCUGAAUAGGUGGAUGUAGCAAUAUUCUCUAAAGAGGUGUGUGUAGUAGUGACAGACAAAUCUGGUUUGCCGAUAGCUGGUUUUCUGCGAAAUAUAUUUUAGUAUAGCCUUUAUUUAAUUAUAAACUGGUACAGCACUUAAAUACCUUUGGGGGGUUAGAAUAUAACUUUAUCAAAAUAUUUAAAACUCCGGAAUCAGUAUAUCAUUUAAUAAGGAGUCAGACUUAUUGCGAUAAGGUAGUAAGUCGAAAAGGAAACAACCUAGACUAUUAUAUGUAUGUCCCAAAUAUAUAUAUAUAAUUUUUUAUAGAUUAUAUAAUUAUUAAGUGAACAAAAUCUAUAUUAUAAAUGAUAGACAAUCAGUCAGCGGGUUUGACAAUAAUCAUCUGUUAAUGGACAUGUAACAAUGCACUGAUAUGAUAUAGAUAUAUAUCAUUACUUUUAGUAAGAUAUAUAUUUUUCUUAUAAAUAGAGAAAAUAUACGGGUCUAAAUAUAUAACAGAAUAAUAGAUAUGUUAAUUUAACAUAUGGUAGCAGAAUAUAUAAUGUAAAAUUAUAAAGAUAUUGCUGGCUUGAGUAACGAUAGGUAAUAUAAGAUUACCCUCCUAAUUCAUAAGGUUUUACUAUAAAUGAACGGUCCCUAAGAUGAGUAUAGAAAUAUAUAGUUAAUGGGUGAAAGAACAAGAAAAUAAAAAAGAACCGUACUGUAGACCGACACAGGUAUGAUAAAGGAGAAUGAGAUAACUACUAUGAAUGAACUCGGCAAAUUAGCAUAAAGCUUUAGUCGUGCGACUGUUUACCAAAAACAUAGCUUACUGCAUACUAGUAAUAGUAAGUAUAGUAAGUGAUAUCUGCCCGGUGUAUGCUUAAUAAAUAAUUUAGCUAAAUGGUUAAAUUAUAAAAAGCAUGUUAACGGCGGUCUUAUUGUGAGGAUCCGAAGGUAGCGAAAUUCAUUGACGCAUAAUUGGUGUCCUGCAUGAAUGAUUACACGAUGCGACAACUGUAUCCAUAGUAGACUCAGUGAAAUAGCACUCGCGGUGAAGAUGCCGUGUACCCGUAGGUUGACAAAAAGACCCUAUGCAGCUUUACUAUAUCUUUAUUUUGAUUUAAAUAUUAUAUAUCUCAGUAGAUUAGGUUAUAUUUAUUAUUUUAAAUAAAAUGAGAUACCUAUAUAUAUAAUUCUAGAAUCUAAUUUAUAUAACCCAAUCUAAUAGAUUGGGUUACUUAAGACAGAGUAAAGAAGUUAGUUUCGAUGGGGCGUCGACAUCAGCGAAAGCAUCUGAUGUGUCUAAUAAUAUUUAUAAUUUAUAUUUUAAUAUAAAUUUUUAUAAUUAUUACAUUAAAUUUAUUAUAUAAUAGUAAAUUACGUACAAUAGUAACUAUAUGGUAAAUAGUAUAAAUAAUGUUUAUAUGCAAGGAUAACAACAUAAUUGUGCGAUGAUAAUAACACUAACAAGUGGAAUUAGUACUUACGUAGAGUGUAGUGAACAGGCAUAAUCAAUUGAUAUGGAUGUCGAUAACGGAUUAAAGUUACGCUAGGGAUAACAGGGUAAUACCGCGUGAGAGUUGAUAUCGUCAGCGGUGUUUGCCACCUCGAUGUCGUCUAGACUCGUCCUCCUGGUCGCAGCAACUAGGUAGGGUAGGACUGUUCGUCCUCUAAGGAGUUACUUGAGAUGGGUUAAUUACGACGUGAGUCAGUAAUGAUUUUAUCAUCUAUGGGAUUUUUCUUAUCUGUUGCCUCAAGUGUACGAAAGGAUAGUGAGGUGCUUUCCAAUGGUUUUUUGUAUAUAUAUAUUUCGCUUUUUUUAAGCGAAAGGAUAUACAUUUUAGCUAAGAAGGUUGCGGAUAAAUAUUGAAAGCAUCUCAAAUAUUAAGCCCUUCAGAUAAGAUUUAACAUAUUAGACUAAUAUGUUAUAGUAAAUAUAUAUUUAUAUAUAUAUUAAACUAAUUAUUUUUAUUCAUAUACCU
RNAcentral lists this ribosomal RNA (2443 nucleotides) under Clavispora lusitaniae ATCC 42720. RNAcentral describes it as "Bacterial large subunit ribosomal RNA". It matches the Rfam family "Bacterial large subunit ribosomal RNA". Lineage: Eukaryota; Fungi; Ascomycota; Pichiomycetes; Serinales; Metschnikowiaceae. The record is from Rfam by way of RNAcentral.